ACGGCUCAGUAACACGUGGACAACCUACCCUGAGGUCGGGGAUAAACCCGGGAAACUGGGUAUAAUACCCGAUAGAUCUAGAUCGCUGGAAUGCUUUUAGGUCUAAAGUUCCGACGCCUCAGGAUGGGUCUGCGGCCUAUCAGGGUAGUAGUGGGUGUAAAGUACCUACUAGCCUACGACGGGUACGGGUUGUGAGAGCAAGAGCCCGGAGAUGGAUUCUGAGACACGAAUCCAGGCCCUACGGGGUGCAGCAGGCGCGAAACCUUUACAAUGCUGGCAACAGCGAUAAGGGGACCUCGAGUGCUACGAUACAAUCGUGGCUGUCUAGUUGCCUAAAAAGCAAUUGAUAGCAAGGGCCGGGCAAGACCGGUGCCAGCCGCCGCGGUAACACCGGCGGCUCGAGUGGUAACCGCUAUUAUUGGGUCUAAAGGGUCUGUAGCCGGCUUAGUUAGUCUCUUGAGAAAUCUGGCCGCUCAACGGUCAGGCGUUCGGGGGAUACUGCUAAAGCUCGAGACCGGGAGAGGUGAGAGGUACUUCAGGGGUAGGGGUGAAAUCUUGUAAUCCUUGAAGGGCCACCAGUGGCGAAGGCGUCUCACCAGAACGGAUCUGACGGCAAGGGACGAAAGCUAGGGGCACGAACCGGAUUAGAUACCCGGGUAGUCCUAGCCGUAAACGAUACUCGCUAGGUGUCGGCCACGGUGCGACCGUGGUCGGUGCCGUAGGGAAGCCGUGAAGCGAGCCACCUGGGAAGUACGGCCGCAAGGCUGAAACUUAAAGGAAUUGGCGGGGGAGCAC
This 795-nucleotide ribosomal RNA is filed under the name uncultured archaeon. RNAcentral's name for it is "bacterial SSU rRNA". It matches the Rfam family "Archaeal small subunit ribosomal RNA", at positions 85 to 879 of the family's 1478-position model. The record is from RNAcentral.